RNAcentral lists this ribosomal RNA (1084 nucleotides) under uncultured bacterium. Its description in RNAcentral is "bacterial SSU rRNA". It matches the Rfam family "Bacterial small subunit ribosomal RNA", at positions 259 to 1357 of the family's 1533-position model. The record is from RNAcentral.
GUAUGCUCACCAGACGACGACGGUAGCCGCCUGAGAGGGCGACCGCCACACUGGGACUGAGACACGGCCAGACUCUACGGAGGCAGCAGUGGGAAUAUUGCACAAUGGGGGAAACCUGAUGCAGCGACGCAGCGUGCGGGAUGACGGCCUUCGGGUUGUAAACCGCUUUCAGCAGGGAAGAAGCCCCUUGGGGUGACGGUACCUGCAGAAGAAGUACCGGCUAACUACGUGCCAGCAGCCGCGGUAAUACGUAGGGUACAAGCGUUGUCCGGAAUUAUUGGGCGUAAAGAGCUCGUAGGUGGUUGGUCACGUCUGCUGUGGAAACGCAACGCUUAACGUUGCGCGUGCAGUGGGUACGGGCUGACUAGAGUGCAGUAGGGGAGUCUGGAAUUCCUGGUGUAGCGGUGAAAUGCGCAGAUAUCAGGAGGAACACCGGUGGCGAAGGCGGGACUCUGGGCUGUAACUGACACUGAGGAGCGAAAGCAUGGGGAGCGAACAGGAUUAGAUACCCUGGUAGUCCAUGCCGUAAACGUUGGGCACUAGGUGUGGGGGACAUUCCACGUUCUCCGCGCCGUAGCUAACGCAUUAAGUGCCCCGCCUGGGGAGUACGGUCGCAAGGCUAAAACUCAAAGGAAUUGACGGGGGCCCGCACAAGCGGCGGAGCAUGCGGAUUAAUUCGAUGCAACGCGAAGAACCUUACCAAGGCUUGACAUACACCAGACCGUUCUGGAAACAGUUCCUCCCCUUUGGGGUUGGUGUACAGGUGGUGCAUGGUUGUCGUCAGCUCGUGUCGUGAGAUGUUGGGUUAAGUCCCGCAACGAGCGCAACCCUCGUUCUAUGUUGCCAGCACGUGAUGGUGGGAACUCAUAGGAGACUGCCGGGGUCAACUCGGAGGAAGGUGGGGAUGACGCCAAAUCAUCAUGCCCUUUAUGUCUUGGGCUUCACGCAUGCUACAAUGGCUGGUACAGAGAGAUGCGAGACCGCGAGGUUUUAGCGAAUCCCUUAAAGCCAGUCUCAGUUCGGAUCGUAGUCUGCAAUUCCACUACGUGAAGUCGGAGUCGCUAGUAAUCGCAGAUCAGAACGU